GAAUGUCAAUUUUUUUUUCGGAAUUUCACGAAAAAAGUCAAAAUGUCAAGAAAGAAGUCGGAACUUCACGAAAAACUAUAAAUGUCAGAAAAUGAGUCGGAAUAUCACGAAAAAAGUCAAAAUGCGAGAAAAAAAGUUGGAAUAUCACGAAAAAAGUCAAAAUGUCGGGAAGAAAGUCGGAAUAUCACAAAAAAAUCAAAAUGUCCCGAAGAAAGUCGGAAUAUCACGAAAAAAGUCAAAACGUCCCGAAGAAAGUCGGAAUGUCACGAAAAAAGUCAAAAUGUCAGGAAGAAAGUCGGAAUAUCACAAAAAAAUCAAAAUGUCAGGAAGAAAUUCGGAAUAUCACGAAAUGAAGAGAAUUAAGUUGAAAUCGAUUUCCUGAAAUGAUUAAACACGUAGUCUAAAAAUAUACAUGAACAUGUUGUAUGACAGUGUUU
Molecule: long non-coding RNA, 437 nt
Organism: Labrus mixtus (cuckoo wrasse)
Lineage: Eukaryota; Metazoa; Chordata; Actinopteri; Labriformes; Labridae
Exons: 4
Source: RefSeq, a predicted model, not a curated record